GACGAACGCUGGCGGCGUGCUUAACACAUGCAAGUCGAACGGAAAGGCCCUGCUUGCAGGGUACUCGAGUGGCGAACGGGUGAGUAACACGUGGGUGAUCUGCCCUGCACUUCGGGAUAAGCCUGGGAAACUGGGUCUAAUACCGGAUAGGAGCCAUUUUUAGUGUGAUGGUUGGAAAGUUUUUUCGGUGUAGGAUGAGCUCGCGGCCUAUCAGCUUGUUGGUGGGGUAAUGGCCUACCAAGGCGGCGACGGGUAGCCGGCCUAAGAGGGUGGACGGCCACAUUGGGACUGAGAUACGGCCCAGACUCCUACGGGAGGCAGCAGUGGGGAAUAUUGCACAAUGGGCGCAGGCCUGAUGCAGCGACGCCGCGUGGGGGAUGACGGCCUUCGGGUUGUAAACUCCUUUCGCUAGGGACGAAGCUUUUUGUGACGGUACCUAGAUAAGAAGCACCGGCUAACUACGUG
Molecule: ribosomal RNA, 465 nt
Filed under: uncultured bacterium
Lineage: Bacteria
Description: partial 16S ribosomal RNA
Rfam family: Bacterial small subunit ribosomal RNA
Source: RNAcentral